AUAAACCUUCAGGGCAGGGUGAAAAUCCCGAUCGGCGGUAUAGCCCGCGACUCCUCGUGUAAACAUGGGGACUGAUCCGGUGAGACUCCGGGGCCGACAGUGACAGUCUGGAUGGAAGAAGGCUUGC
Molecule: non-coding RNA, 127 nt
Filed under: Nitrospirota bacterium
Lineage: Bacteria; Pseudomonadati; Nitrospirota
Description: Nitrospirae bacterium FMN sequence
Rfam family: FMN riboswitch aptamer (RFN element)
About the family: The RFN element is a highly conserved domain that is found frequently in the 5'-untranslated regions of prokaryotic mRNAs that encode for flavin mononucleotide (FMN) biosynthesis and transport proteins. This element is a metabolite-dependent riboswitch that directly binds FMN in the absence of proteins.
Source: RNAcentral